GAUGAACGCUGACAGAAUGCUUAACACAUGCAAGUCAACUUGAAUUUGGGUUUUUAACUUAGAUUUGGGUGGCGGACGGGUGAGUAACGCGUAAAGAACUUGCCUCACAGCUAGGGACAACAUUUAGAAAUGAAUGCUAAUACCUGAUAUUAUGGUUAUAGGGCAUCCUAUAAUUAUGAAAGCUAUAAGCACUGUGAGAGAGCUUUGCGUCCCAUUAGCUAGUUGGAGAGGUAACAGCUCACCAAGGCGAUGAUGGGUAGCCGGCCUGAGAGGGUGAACGGCCACAAGGGGACUGAGACACGGCCCUUACUCCUACGGGAGGCAGCAGUGGGGAAUAUUGGACAAUGGACCGAGAGUCUGAUCCAGCAAUUCUGUGUGCACGAUGAAGUUUUUCGGAAUGUAAAGUGCUUUCAGUUGGGAAGAAAGAAAUGACGUACCAACAGA
Molecule: ribosomal RNA, 444 nt
Filed under: Fusobacterium sp. oral taxon H27
Lineage: Bacteria; Fusobacteriati; Fusobacteriota; Fusobacteriia; Fusobacteriales; Fusobacteriaceae
Description: bacterial SSU rRNA
Rfam family: Bacterial small subunit ribosomal RNA
Source: RNAcentral